AUUGAACGCUGGCGGCAGGCCUAACACAUGCAAGUCGAACGAGUGGCGGACGGGUGAGUAAUGUCUGGGAAACUGCCCGCUGGAGGGGGAUAACUACUGGAAACGGUAGCUAAUACCGCAUACCAUCGGAUGUGCCCAGAUGGGAUUAGCUAGUAGGUGGGGUAACGGCUCACCUAGGCGACGAUCCCUAGCUGGUCUGAGAGGAUGACCAGCCAAACUGGAUCGGAGCCACGGUCCAGACUACUACGGGAGGCAGCAGUGGGGUGUAUUGCACAAUGUGCGCAAGCCGGAUGCGACCAUGCCGCGUGUAUUAAGAAGGCCUUCGGGUUGUAAUGUUCUUUCAGCGAGGAGGCGUUACUCGAAGAAGAAGCACCGGCUAACUCCGUGCCAGCAGCCGCGGUAAUUC
RNAcentral lists this ribosomal RNA (406 nucleotides) under uncultured bacterium. Its description in RNAcentral is "partial 16S ribosomal RNA". It matches the Rfam family "Bacterial small subunit ribosomal RNA", at positions 30 to 526 of the family's 1533-position model. The record is from RNAcentral.